This 347-nucleotide ribosomal RNA is filed under the name uncultured bacterium. Its description in RNAcentral is "partial 16S ribosomal RNA". It matches the Rfam family "Bacterial small subunit ribosomal RNA", at positions 338 to 682 of the family's 1533-position model. The record is from RNAcentral.
CCUACGGGUGGCAGCAGUGAGGAAUAUUGGUCAAUGGACGAGAGUCUGAACCAGCCAAGUAGCGUGAAGGAUGACUGCCCGAUGGGUUGUAAACUUCUUUUAUAAAGGAAUAAAACGAGGCACGUGUGCCGUUUUGCAUGUACUUUAUGAAUAAGGAUCGGCUAACUCCGUGCCAGCAGCCGCGGUAAUACGGAGGAGCCGAGCGUUAUCCGGAUUUAUUGGGUUUAAAGGGAGCGUAGAUGGGUUGUUAAGUCAGUUGUGAAAGUUUGCGGCUCAACCGUAAAAUUGCAAUUGAUACUGGCAGUCUUGAGUACAGUUGCGUUCGGCGGAAUUCGUGGUGUAGCGGU